Molecule: unclassified non-coding RNA, 294 nt
Organism: Callithrix jacchus (white-tufted-ear marmoset)
Lineage: Eukaryota; Metazoa; Chordata; Mammalia; Primates; Cebidae
Rfam family: Metazoan signal recognition particle RNA
About the family: The signal recognition particle (SRP) is a universally conserved ribonucleoprotein. It is involved in the co-translational targeting of proteins to membranes.
Source: Ensembl
GCCACGCGGUGGAACGUGCUUGUAGUCCCAGCUACUUGGGAGGCUGAAGUGGGAGGAUUGCUUGAGCCCAGAAGUUCUGGUCUGUAGUGCACUAUGUCGAUCAGGUGAACGCACUAAGUUUGGCAUCAAUAUGGUGACCUCCCGGGAGCUGGGACCACCAGGUUGCCUAAGGAGGGGUGAACCGGCCCAGGUCAGAAACAGAGCAGGUCAAAACUCCUGUGCUCAGUAAUGGGAUCGCGCCUGUGAAUAGCCACUGCACUCCAGCCUGGGCAACAUAGCGAGACCCUAUCUCUA